UCAAGGCAGCUUUACCCCACUAACCAUCCUGGCCCAUUUAUAGUUUUGGUGGAAUCACUAGAUCAUAAUAUAGGGAACCUGCAUCCCAUUUCUCUCGGUAGGAAGUUACACCCGAACCACGACAUUCUAGAAAUUUCUCGCUCCGGGCCGAAUAGGUUAAGAAUUUCCUUCAGUACCGCUAGUGGGGCUAAUCGCUUCGUGUCCUCGGAUAUCCUUGAUCGACUGCGUAUCACUUACCACAUACCUCAAAGUUUAACCCAAAGAGAAGGUUUGAUUUAUGGCAUUCCUCUCGAUAUCAACUUGGAGGAAAUUAUUGCGGGCAUCGAAUCGUCUCAACCAGUACUUCAUUUAGAACGUUUAACCAAAUUUGUUCCUAACAGUGCCCGUGUGCCUACAAAACUUAUAAAGGUGACUUUCGAAGGGCAGGUUUUACCUGACUAUAUUGCUAUUUUCAAAGAACGUUACAAGGUUAAACCUAGAGUGCAGUCGGUGAUCCAAUGUCACAAAUGUCAACGCUUUGGGCAUACUGCUAAACUUUGUAGAGCUAAACUACCUACGUGUGGUAUCUGCGCAGAGAAUCAUACUCAGGAUGACUGCCAAAAUCAAAACAAUCCUAAAUGUGCCAACUGUAAAGGCUCCCAUUCUUCUCAAGAUAAAAUACAUUGUCGUAUCUGGGAACUCGAACGGGAAGUAAAGCGCAUAAUGGCUUAUCUCAACCUUCCAUACAUGGCAGCUAAACACCACGUGCUACAAUCGACAGGACAAUCUGUGGUAAAUAUGUAUUAAACGGAUUAGCGCCAAAAAAAAUCGUACAAAUAUGAAAUAACUUUCAUUAUAUGCUAUCUUACGUACUCUCUUCAGAACCGCCUGCGGAGAUAAAAAAUUCCAAUUACUUUAGGAGAUAUCGAAUUUUUUAAUCUUCAUUUUUUGGCGAUUUUUUUUUUAAAAAAAAUUAAAAAAUCCGAAAAUACCUUUAUUCUGUGCUCUUAAACUUCCUCUUUUCAUUAAACCCGGCUGAGAUAAGAAAUUCCAAAUACUUUUGGAGAUAUCGAAUUUUUUAAUUUUCAUCCUGUGCACUCGUGCGGCGAUAAUGGUUGCUUGUUGACAAGUAUCAUUUUUUUUUUUUGCGAUGUUCCCGAACGGAGAAACCUAAGAUGCACAUAGAGUUCUGCCAUUCCCGAUUACACCCGAACAAUUCACCUUCGGCCAACCUCGGGUUUAUUUAUUAAUAUUUCUCUGUUUAUUUUAAUGUAGCUAUACUAACCUAACUAACCAUCCAAAUGGUUUUAAAGUGUUUUAAUGUAGCUAACCUAUCCGACCACUUUUAAUAUUUCAAUUCAUUUUUCCUGCGCAAAAAUAAAUAAAUCCCGAGGUUGGCCGAAGGUGAAUAUUCGGGUGUAAUCGGGAAUGGCAGAACUUUAUGUGGAUCUUAAGGACUCUCGCGUAAACGAAUACAUCAUGUAAAAAGAAACUUACACUACUACACCAUGAAUUCAAGACAGCAAGAGUUAUCCAUUGUAUAGUGACGAUACUUCAAAGUAGCAGAUACAGAGAUAUAAUCAGCAGUAUUGAAACCAAGAGGGACUUAAAUGAUGGCGUAAUAUAUGACUGAUUUACCGAAGUCAUAUCUCAUGGAAAGCGAGUAGCACACAAAGAAACAGGCCAGGGGAAUUUGUCUGAUGUGUUUCCAGAAGCUAUGGAAAAUGAUCACUUCAGUGAGAGCCUUACCGCUGCGCCAUUGUUCCGACAGUGACGUACCGGCCAACUGAACAACUGGGGUCAACAAUCAUGAAUUGGAUAUAUGAAUGAAUGUACACACAUCAAGAAUAAUAAAUGAAGUAUCAUCACUCCAAAAACACAGUACACUAAUGGAGAAGAAAGAAGAAGAAGAAGAAGAAAAGUCCUGAUAUGUUAUGUAUGAAAUCCCACAAAUUUAAGCAUAAAUCUACAUUCAUAUGUUAAGAUAAUAAAAGAAUUUGCAGAAAGGUAUUCAGAUCCCUUCUUGUUUUCUUUCAAAUAAAAUAUUACAAA
Bacillus rossius redtenbacheri is the source of this 2031-nucleotide long non-coding RNA. RefSeq lists it as uncharacterized. The transcript is spliced from 3 exons. The record is from RefSeq and is a predicted model, not a curated record. Lineage: Eukaryota; Metazoa; Arthropoda; Insecta; Phasmatodea; Bacillidae.